UGAGGAAUAUUGGACAAUGGGCGCAAGCCUGAUCCAGCCAUGCCGCGUGCAGGAUGACGGUCCUAUGGAUUGUAAACUGCUUUUGCACAGGAAGAAACAUCCCGACGUGUCGGGACUUGACGGUACUGUGAGAAUAAGGAUCGGCUAACUCCGUGCCAGCAGCCGCGGUAAUACGGAGGAUCCAAGCGUUAUCCGGAAUCAUUGGGUUUAAAGGGUCCGUAGGCGGUCUUAUAAGUCAGUGGUGAAAUCUCCCCGCUCAACGGGGAAACGGCCAUUGAUACUGUAGGACUUGAAUUAUUAGGAAGUAACUAGAAUAUGUAGUGUAGCGGUGAAAUGCUUAGAGAUUACAUGGAAUACCAAUUGCGAAGGCAGGUUACUACUAAUGGAUUGACGCUGAUGGACGAAAGCGUGGGUAGCGAACA
This 422-nucleotide ribosomal RNA is filed under the name uncultured Flavobacterium sp. Its description in RNAcentral is "bacterial SSU rRNA". It matches the Rfam family "Bacterial small subunit ribosomal RNA", at positions 355 to 774 of the family's 1533-position model. The record is from RNAcentral. Lineage: Bacteria; Pseudomonadati; Bacteroidota; Flavobacteriia; Flavobacteriales; Flavobacteriaceae.